Molecule: long non-coding RNA, 1804 nt
Organism: Sinocyclocheilus grahami
Lineage: Eukaryota; Metazoa; Chordata; Actinopteri; Cypriniformes; Cyprinidae
Exons: 2
Source: RefSeq, a predicted model, not a curated record
UCUUACUGCUUCUCUGGAAUUCCUGUGUGAUCUUUUCUAAGUUUUAUACACCUUCUUUGAACCAAAUGAAGCUUUUGGUUGGGUUGGUUUGGUAUUGUUAAGAUAGAAGUAUUUUUUUUUUUUGGUUAACAUUGAUAACAUUCUUCUACAUGUUAAAAAAAAAAAAUCUGUCACUUCACAGAGUGACCACAAAGUGACGCUGUUCCAUUACAUAAAGCCAGGAAACCAUCACACCUGCAGCACUGUGACCUUCUGAGAGUGAGUGCGUUGGUUUAGCUGUGCUUCAGAAGAGCUGGAUCUGACAGACGCUCAGUUUGAUGUGAAAGUGUGUGUCUUUCCUGCUGGUUAUACAGGAUGAGGGUUGGUUUACUAAAACUGGGCCGAUGGGUUUCCGCACCUUGACCAAACUUGUGUGUGUAGUUUCACGACCUUUGCCCUCUUGACACCGCUCACCUUACAAACACAGUUAAUCUCGCUACUCGGAUCCAAGUUGCCAUCUGUGCAACAUCUCACACACACACACACACACACACACACACAGUUCAUCUCGAGGAAUAAUGGAUGACUAUAGACACGCACACACACGCACACACACACACUCUCUCACACACACACACACACACACACACACACACAGAGUUCAUCUCGAGGAAUAAUGGAUGACUAUAGACACGCACACACACGCACACACACACACUCUCUCACACACACACACACACACACACACACACACAGAGUUCAUCUCGAGGAAUAAUGGAUGACUAUAGACACGCACACACACGCACACACACACACUCUCUCACACACACACACACACACACACACACACACAGAGUUCAUCUCGAGGAAUAAUGGAUGACUAUAGACACGCACACACACGCACACACACACACUCUCUCACACACACACACACACACACACACACACACAGAGUUCAUCUCGAGGAAUAAUGGAUGACUAUAGACACGCACACACACGCACACACACACACUCUCUCACACACACACACACACACACACACACACACAGAGUUCAUCUCGAGGAAUAAUGGAUGACUAUAGACACGCACACACACGCACACACACACACUCUCUCACACACACACACACACACACACACACACACAGAGUUCAUCUCGAGGAAUAAUGGAUGACUAUAGACACGCACACACACGCACACACACACACUCUCUCACACACACACACACACACACACACACACACAGAGUUCAUCUCGAGGAAUAAUGGAUGACUAUAGACACGCACACACACGCACACACACACACUCUCUCACACACACACACACACACACACACACACACAGAGUUCAUCUCGAGGAAUAAUGGAUGACUAUAGACACGCACACACACGCACACACACACACUCUCUCACACACACACACACACACACACACACACACAGAGUUCAUCUCGAGGAAUAAUGGAUGACUAUAGACACGCACACACACGCACACACACACACUCUCUCACACACACACACACACACACACACACACACAGAGUUCAUCUCGAGGAAUAAUGGAUGACUAUAGACACGCACACACACGCACACACACACACUCUCUCACACACACACACACACACACACACACACACAGAGUUCAUCUCGAGGAAUAAUGGAUGACUAUAGACACGCACACACACGCACACACACACACUCUCUCACACACACACACACACACACACACACACACAGAGUUCAUCUCGAGGAAUAAUGGAUGACUAUAGACACGCACACACACGCACACACACACACUCUCUCACACACACACACACACACACACA